Molecule: non-coding RNA, 188 nt
Organism: Castor canadensis (American beaver)
Lineage: Eukaryota; Metazoa; Chordata; Mammalia; Rodentia; Castoridae
Source: RefSeq, a predicted model, not a curated record
AGUAGUGUAUCAAGAGCCUGUGUAUGGCAAUAAAUUACUACAGGGUGGUUAUGCUGCAUACCGCUAUGCCCAGCCUACCCCCGCCACUGCAGCUGCCUACAGUGACAGAAAUCAGUUCGUCUUCGUUGCAACAGAUGAAAUUUCUUGUAACACCUCUGCAGGUAACAGACAUUGCUACUUCUUGAUGC